RNAcentral lists this small nuclear RNA (141 nucleotides) under Piliocolobus tephrosceles (Ugandan red Colobus). RNAcentral describes it as "U4 spliceosomal RNA (ENSPTEG00000014760.1)". It matches the Rfam family "U4 spliceosomal RNA". Rfam says of the family: U4 small nuclear RNA (U4 snRNA) is a component of the major U2-dependent spliceosome. The structure of U4 snRNA from yeast and human has been reported. Lineage: Eukaryota; Metazoa; Chordata; Mammalia; Primates; Cercopithecidae. The record is from Rfam by way of RNAcentral.
AGCUUCAUGCGGUGACAGUAUCGUAGCCAAUGAGGUUUAUCCAAGGAGCGAUUAUUGCUAAUUGAAAGCUUUUCCUUAUACCCGGCCGUGACCACUUGCAAUAUCGUUGGCACUGGCAAUUUUUGACAGUCUCUAUGGAGA